This 263-nucleotide small RNA is filed under the name Pongo abelii (Sumatran orangutan). The record is from RNAcentral. Lineage: Eukaryota; Metazoa; Chordata; Mammalia; Primates; Hominidae.
GCCGGGCGUGGUGGUGCACGCCUGUAAUCUCAGCUACUCAGGAGGCUGAGACAAGAGAAUCGCUUGAACCCUGGUGUGCCGUUGCACUCCAGCCUGGGCAACAGAGCGAGACUUCAUCUCAAAAUAAAUAAAUAAAGAUUAGAGUUGAGGCCAGGCGGUGGCUCACACCUGUAAUCCCAGCACUUUGAGAGGCCAAGAUGGGAAGAUCGCUUGAGACCAGGAGUUUGAGACCAGCCUGGGUAACAUGGUGAGACCCCAUCUCU